RNAcentral lists this long non-coding RNA (264 nucleotides) under Lathyrus oleraceus (garden pea). RNAcentral describes it as "Pisum sativum (pea) long non-coding RNA (PSAT_LNC017360)". Lineage: Eukaryota; Viridiplantae; Streptophyta; Magnoliopsida; Fabales; Fabaceae. The record is from RNAcentral.
AAAAGGGAAAAAUACAAAAAAAAAGAUUGAAAAUAUAGGAUUUGAACUCAUGACCUUAUGCUUGCAUUCCUUACACAUGCUUCUUUACCAAGUGUCUCAUUUCAUUUAUUUGAAAUAAAGUGGCGCUAGAAAACAUGUGAAGGGUGUGCAAAAUUUGUGGUACGGCAAAUAGAAUAAACUCUAGAGUUUCCUAAGCACAAUAGUAGAAGAAGGUGCAUCAAAAUGCACUGAUCAAAUUCCCCCACACUUGAAUUUUUGCACUCC